This 314-nucleotide ribosomal RNA is filed under the name Mycena sp. ITS-890ek. Its description in RNAcentral is "eukaryotic LSU rRNA". The stretch from base 1 to 75 matches the Rfam family "5.8S ribosomal RNA", at positions 80 to 154 of the family's 154-position model. Lineage: Eukaryota; Fungi; Basidiomycota; Agaricomycetes; Agaricales; Mycenaceae. The record is from RNAcentral.
GUGUGUGAGUCAUCGAAUCUUUGAACGCACCUUGCGCCCUUUGGUAUUCCGAAGGGCAUGCCUGUUUGAGUGUCAUUAAAUUAUCAACCUUGUUCGCUUUUACGAGCUUGAGCGAGGCUUGGAUGUGAGGGCUUGCUGGCUUCCUUCAGUGGAUGGUCUGCUCCCUUUAAAUGCAUUAGUGGGAUCUCUUGUGGACCGUCACUUGGUGUGAUAAUUAUCUAUGCCAUUUGACUGUGAAGCAAAAUUAUGGGAACCUGCUUAUAACCGUCUCGCAAGGGACAAUUUAAUUGACUAUUUGACCUCAAAUCAGGUAG